This 233-nucleotide ribosomal RNA is filed under the name uncultured bacterium. RNAcentral's name for it is "partial 16S ribosomal RNA". It matches the Rfam family "Bacterial small subunit ribosomal RNA", at positions 28 to 258 of the family's 1533-position model. The record is from RNAcentral.
GACGAACGCUGGCGGCGUGCUUAACACAUGCAAGUCGAAGCGGUAAGGGCCCUUUCGGGGGUAACACGAGCGGCGAACGGGUGAGUAACACGUGGGUGACCUGCCCUCAGCUCUGGGAUAAGCCCGGGAAACUGGGUCUAAUACCGGAUAUGACUUCAUGACGCAUGUUGUGGAGUGGAAAGCCUUGUGCGGCUGAGGAUGGGGCCCGCGGCCUAUCAGCUUGUUGGUGGGGU